This 472-nucleotide ribosomal RNA is filed under the name uncultured bacterium. RNAcentral's name for it is "partial 16S ribosomal RNA". It matches the Rfam family "Bacterial small subunit ribosomal RNA", at positions 28 to 507 of the family's 1533-position model. The record is from RNAcentral.
GACGAACGCUGGCGGCGUGCUUAACACAUGCAAGUCGAACGCUGAAGCUUGGUGCUUGCGCUGGGUGGGUGAGUGACGGACGGGUAAGAAGUAAGUAAGUAACCUGCAAUUGUGUCUUAGGUAUGGCUAGGAGGGUGGAACUACUGAUAGGUGUGACCAGCGACUGGAGGGUGGUGUAUGGAAAGGGCUUUAUUGGUUUUGGAUGGGCUCGCGGCCUAUCAGCUUGUUGGUGGGGUAAUGGCAUACCAAGGCGACGACGGGUAGCCGGCCUGAGAGGGUGACCGGCCACACUGGGACUGAGACACGGCCCAGACUCCUACGGGAGGCAGCAGUGGGGAAUAUUGCACAAUGGGCGGAAGCCUGAUGCAGCGACGCCGCGUGAGGGAUGACGGCCUUCGGGUUGUAAACCUCUUUCAGUACGGAAGAAGCGAGAGUGACGGUACCUGCAGAAGAAGCGCCGGCUAACUACGUG